GAUGAACGCUGGCGGCGUGCCUAAUACAUGCAAGUCGAGCGAACGGACGAGAAGCUUGCUUCUCUGAUGUUAGCGGCGGACGGGUGAGUAACACGUGGAUAACCUACCUAUAAGACUGGGAUAACUUCGGGAAACCGGAGCUAAUACCGGAUAAUAUUUUGAACCGCAUGGUUCAAAAGUGAAAGACGGUCUUGCUGUCACUUAUAGAUGGAUCCGCGCUGCAUUAGCUAGUUGGUAAGGUAACGGCCUACCAAGGCAACGAUGCAUAGCCGACCUGAGAGGGUGAUCGGCCACACUGGAACUGAGGCACGGUCCAGACUCCUACGGGAGGCAGCAGUAGGGAAUCUUCCGCAAUGGGCGAAAGCCUGACGGAGCAACGCCGCGUGAGUGAUGAAGGUCUUCGGAUCGUAAAACUCUGUUAUUAGGGAAGAACAUAUGUGUAAGUAACUGUGCACAUCUUGACGGUACCUAAUCAGAAAGCCACGGCUAACUACGUG
This 497-nucleotide ribosomal RNA is filed under the name uncultured bacterium. Its description in RNAcentral is "partial 16S ribosomal RNA". It matches the Rfam family "Bacterial small subunit ribosomal RNA", at positions 28 to 507 of the family's 1533-position model. The record is from RNAcentral.